UACGGAGGGUGCAAGCGUUGUCCGGAAUUACUGGGCGUAAAGGGCGCGUAGGCGGUUUGUUAAGCGAGAUGUGAAAGCCCUGGGCUCAACCUGGGAAUUGCAUUUCGAACUGGCAGGCUAGAGUGUAGAAGAGGGGUGUGGAAUUUCCGGUGUAGCGGUGAAAUGCGUAGAGAUCGGAAGGAACACCAGUGGCGAAGGCGACACCCUGGUCUAACACUGACGCUGAGGUGCGAAAGCGUGGGUAGCAAACAGG
RNAcentral lists this unclassified non-coding RNA (253 nucleotides) under uncultured Cellvibrionales bacterium. RNAcentral describes it as "contains 16S-23S intergenic spacer region". It matches the Rfam family "Bacterial small subunit ribosomal RNA", at positions 524 to 776 of the family's 1533-position model. Lineage: Bacteria; Pseudomonadati; Pseudomonadota; Gammaproteobacteria; Cellvibrionales. The record is from RNAcentral.